GUAGUCCUGGCCGUAAACGAUGAAUACUAGGUGUCGGGCGUCAAAACUCGGUGCCGCAGCUAACGCAUUAAGUAUUCCGCCUGGGGAGUACGCACGCAAGUGUGAAACUCAAAGGAAUUGACGGGGACCCGCACAAGCAGCGGAGCAUGUGGUUUAAUUCGAAGCAACGCGAAGAACCUUACCAGGUCUUGACAUCCUCUUGCAAGCGUCCUAAUAGGCGCCCUCCUUCAGGACAAGAGAGACAGGUGGUGCAUGGUUGUCGUCAGCUCGUGUCGUGAGAUGUUGGGUUAAGUCCCGCAACGAGCGCAACCCUCACCUUUAGUUGCCAACAGGUUAAGCUGUGCACUCUAAACAGACUGCCGUGGAUAACACGGAGGAAGGUGGGGAUGACGUCAAAUCAUCAUGCCCCUUAUGAUCUGGGCUACACACGUGCUACAAUGGUCGGUACAACGGGCAGCGAAAGAGCGAUCUGGAGCGAAUCCUAAAAAGCCGAUCCCAGUUCGGAUUGCAGGCUGAAACUCGCCUACAUGAAGUUGGAGUUGCUAGUAAUCGCGAAUCAGAAUGUCGCGGUGAAUGCGUUCCCGGGUCUUGUACACACCGCCCGUCACACCAUGGAAGUUGAGGGCGCCCGAAGCCAGUGGUCCAACCCGUAAGGGAGGAAGCUGUCGAAGGUGAAAUCAAUGACUGGGGUGAAGUCGUAACAAGGUAGCCGUAUCGGAAGGUGCGGCUGGAUCACCUCC
RNAcentral lists this ribosomal RNA (740 nucleotides) under uncultured bacterium. RNAcentral describes it as "bacterial SSU rRNA". It matches the Rfam family "Bacterial small subunit ribosomal RNA", at positions 790 to 1530 of the family's 1533-position model. The record is from RNAcentral.